This is a long non-coding RNA of Oreochromis aureus, 2908 nucleotides long. RefSeq lists it as uncharacterized. The transcript is spliced from 7 exons. The record is from RefSeq and is a predicted model, not a curated record. NCBI's taxonomy places the organism in Eukaryota, Metazoa, Chordata, Actinopteri, Cichliformes, Cichlidae.
AAGAAGUGAUAACACAUUGAGAUAAUUGAAAGAUACGUAACAUUUUGUAGUACGAAAAAAUACGUUAAAACAAAAUCCAUGUUUGGUUGAAUUAGUUGUAAAACAACCAUAAUAAGUAACACUGUUCACCAUGAUAAAUAACUCAUCUCACAAAAGUCUUUUUGUCACAUAAGGUCAUAAAUUCUCUUUUAAGCAUUUGCACUGGGUAUUAUCAGAUUUAAAUUUUUCAUUGGCUUGACACAAUGACUCUUUCAUGUCAUUGUGAUUGAGAUAAUGAUUGUAAAAUACGUUCAGAGCAACGGUCUUUAACAGCUUGUCUUUGUGGUUUAGGAGCCACUCAAAAUGUAUAUCUAACAGAGUAUAACAUUAUUAAUAGUAAUAAAUCAGGUAGGGAAUGUGUAUUAUACACAGUGAAUUAGUGCUUGUGUUUUUUAACUAUAGUGUUGAUUACAGUAAUUUGCACUGUGAAUUUUAAAACUUAGAACUUAGUGAUAGUGUAUUAGCAAAUAAACAUUAAAAAGGACUGUGUUAGUUAGCACUUGUAUGGCCAAAAAUCUAACUGCUACCAGUUAUGUUGUUGGCAUAGAAAAAUGCUAGAACCCUUAAUCCGUACUGCAGUUUUGGAUUUCAGAGACACAGUGUGAAAAAACUUUCUUCAAGAUCAAAGGCACCGGUUUUCAGGUGUAUGGGGUAUUGCAGAUUUCAGGACUGCCCUGUCACUGUGGAUGUGGUGGUUUAUGACGAAGAGACACUGAAAGCAGAAGUCGUUUUUAAAGGAGGUGAGGUCUGCCAUAAUAACAAAGAGCUGAAAAGGCGGCCUGUGCGUGCACAAUCACGUCAAAGUGCUGGAGAACUCCUCAAAAACAAAUUACCAAGGAGCUUGUACUUGGAGUCUUUACAGAAAGUGCCACAAAAGGUGAUCCAAUCUGGCAACAGGGAUGAUGCUCCAACUUUAGAAGUCUUGAAAAACAUUGCAUGGUCUGAAAGAAAAGCCAAUAGAGCCGAUCCCAACGAGUUGAUGAGUUUACAAAAGAUAAUUCAACAGUAUCAGGACACUGAAAAGGAUGUACUGCAGAAGAUGCUGAUGCAUCCAAAGGGCAUAAUGCUAUGGUCUAAGAAAACCUUGUCAGUUUUUCAUCAAAGAUGCAAAGAAGACAUUGUGUACUUUGAUGCCACUGGAAGUAUAAUAAGAAAAGAAAGUGCUGGAAGGCCACCAUAUUAUGUGUAUGAGUUGAUUGUCAGAAACCCAUCCAAAGGUGCUUCUCCUCUUCCAGGUGCUACAUAUGUCACAUGUGACCACACUACUGCCUCUGUGACAUACUUCUUGCAGGCCUUUCAGACUGAUCUGGUAAGAGCAUUUGGUAAUCGGGCCUACAACAGGCCUGUCAUGUUCAUGUGUGAUGGAUCCCUAGUACUCCUUCGAUCCAUUUCCAUGACAUUCUGCAGAACAAGUCUAGAGGAUCUGCUGCAGAAGUACUAUGUCUUACUCACUGGCACAGGAAUUCAACAUUCCCAUUCUUCAUCGAUGUUUGAGCCAUGUCAUGAAAAAUGCCAAGGACCUUUGUAAAAAACACAUUCCAGAGAACUACAGGCUUGGAAUGCAUGUGACAUGGAUGAUGUUGUCCAUAGUGCAGCAAUAGUGUUUUGCAGUCCUUGUAGUGGAAGGAACGUAACAAAACACUACAACAACUUGAAAAUCCUUAUGCAAAAAAGGGGGACCCUGGAUUUGGAUGAAAAGACUGUGAUUGCUGAGGACUACAAGACUGAUGUUCAGAAUGCCCCCUUGAAGACCCAUUUCCAGGCAAUUGUUGACAAUGCAACACUGGACUGUGAGGGCGAAAGAAACAUCUUUCAUGCACCCAAAUUUAUUGCCGGUCUGGUAAAUCACCUUCUACCACAUGCAACUUUGUGGUCAUCAAUGAUGCUCGGGGAUCUUGGACGUCAUGGUACUGGUCCUGCUUACCAGCAGCUCAGUAAACUCUAUAGUGACAUUCAGCAAUCCAAGAACCAGAAUUUUACACAAGACAACAGAACCCAAGGAAUCAUGGAGAAAAGCUAGUGGGAUUUGAAAAAAAUCCGUAUCCAGAGAAGGAGACUGACAAGGCUUGAUGACUUUGUGGAAAUUUAUCAAAAAAUGCAUGAUGCCCUCCUGCUUGAAUAUGCAGACAUGAAAAAAUCAAGACAAAAGUCUUUUCGCGUGGAAAUGGAGAAAUGGAAAGACAAACGCAUUAAACGGAAAGGUGUGUACGUGUCACCGUUAGUGACCGAACUGCCACUGAAGAAAAAGAAAACUGAGGUCUCCACUUCAUCAGACAUCACCUAGACACACAGCUGGAUGAGACCAGCACAAACAGCAGCCUAACUGACGAAGAUGAUGGAUCCAUGGGGUCAGGAAAGCCAGAAGCAGAGGAGCUGAAGAGGUACCUUUCACUGUCCAAUGUCCAUACACUGGAGGUGUGGAGCUAUUGCAUGGCUUUUCUCAGAUCAAGAAACUGUCGAUCAAAGUCAAUACAGCUCUUCCUGCAUCUGCAGCCUGUGAGAGACUUUUUAGUCAUGCAGGACUCCUGUUCACUGCCAAACGGUCACAGCUUCACAGCAAGAACCUUGAGAGCAAACUGCUGCUGAAGCUGAAGCACCAUUUCACUGACUGAAGAAACAAUUUAUGGUAAAGUGAGCAAUACACAUAUGUACAUCCACAUAGUGGGAAUUUGUAUUUGUUUUUUAUAAUUAGUUUUACUCUGAUUUCAGUGUUUAUUUGUGAGUGUAGUUUUUACAGUUUUACAUAUUACAUCGUGUUAAUCCACUGUCUAUACUUCAGGGUAUUUUAGUAUACAAAAUAAGUUUUGUUAGAAUGUCUAUUCUUGUGGAAUUUUAGCACAGAUGUUUUGUUUUGUUUUUUUAUUCCUGC